UCUCCAGACUCCUACGGGAGGCAGCAGUGAGGAAUAUUGGUCAAUGGCCGUAAGGCUGAACCAGCCAAGUAGCGUGAGGGAAGACUGCCCUAUGGGUUGUAAACCUCUUUUAUGCGGGGAUAAAGGUGUCCACGUGUGGAUGUUUGCAGGUACCGCAUGAAUAAGGACCGGCUAAUUCCGUGCCAGCAGCCGCGGUAAUACGGAGGAUGCGAGCGUUAUCCGGAUUUAUUGGGUUUAAAGGGUGCGUAGGCGGACUGUAAAGCCAGGGUUAAAAGCCCGGGGCCCAACCCGGGAGAGCCGUUGAAACUGGCUGUCUUGAGAUGUCGAGAGGUAUGCGGAAUGCGCAGUGUAGCGGUGAAAUGCUUAGAUAUUGCGCAGAACUCCGAUUGCGAAGGCAGCAUACCGGCGGCGAUCUGACGCUGAGGCACGAAAGCGUGGGUAUCGAACAGGAUUAGAUACCCCUGUACUG
Molecule: ribosomal RNA, 469 nt
Filed under: uncultured bacterium
Lineage: Bacteria
Description: bacterial SSU rRNA
Rfam family: Bacterial small subunit ribosomal RNA
Source: RNAcentral